RNAcentral lists this ribosomal RNA (32 nucleotides) under Novacetimonas maltaceti. Its description in RNAcentral is "Komagataeibacter maltaceti partial 23S ribosomal RNA". Lineage: Bacteria; Pseudomonadati; Pseudomonadota; Alphaproteobacteria; Acetobacterales; Acetobacteraceae. The record is from RNAcentral.
AUGAGCGCGAUAAGGGCAUUCGGUGGAUGCCC